CUUUCCAGAAUUACCUUGGACUAAUCCAGAACAGAGGUCGGUCGUGCUAGUUUGUCAUACUGCUUCAAAGUAGACUGUCCCUGCUUCAAAGCCUUGACAAGCAAACUGUUACCUCUGAACAGACCUGGACAUCUUAAAAACUGUGUUGUUUUGACUUGCUGAACGAAUUGCAGUUCAUGUUGGAUCUCAGAGUAUUUCUUCUGCUUCUGGACUAGGUAAUUCCCAACUCCACCAAGUGCUUCCAAGAUGGCUGCUGGCACACACAGCAGUGCGAACCCACGUUUGCAUGGUGUCAGCACUCAGUUAAUAUUCUUGUGGAAAAGUGGUGACUUAUGUAAGUGCUUGUAGGAAUCAAAGAAAACGACUGACACAUAGCCUUUAAACAAGUUUACUCCUUGCAUGCGUACAGUGUUUGAGAACAAUCCUCUGUAAAAACAAUCCCCUGUGAAAUAGGUUUCUGUAUAAAUUGCUCUAAAGGUUUACAGAAUAAGACUAGGGAACAAUGUCUUUCCUGUGGGUUUCUCAUUUGUGACAGCAAUUCAGUAGCUGGGUAAUAAUUACUGUAUUCUGUAAGAUCAUUUAGCUGAAAAUACCUAGGAAAAAAUGCAGUUAUUUUUAUUAACUUGCACAGGACUUUUCCAUAAGGGAUUUAAUAUGGGGCUCUCUUUACUCAGCCCUGAAGCUUGGGUUUUAGCUGCAUUUAUCCUUUUCUCCCUCCUCAGUUUGCAGCCUCCCACCUUUCCAGUAGGUUGCCUUCUGUGUAUUUCAUUGCUGCUGCUCCUGCCUCACCCACCUUCAGGAGGCUGGUUCAGUCAGCUCCUGUACUGCUGCCACCCUGGAUCUUUAUAAACUCUCUUUCCCCAUCAUGUCUUAUCCCAUUUCUUUUUUCUUCCAAGGAAUUGAUCUUGCAUCAUAGAGGGGUCUCUAAGAAUAUAAGGAUGAUGAGUGAGAUAAGGUGAUUUAUGAGGCAAAAAAGUGCGACCAGAUAAAAGAUGAGUCAGUCAUUGCUGAAAUGUAGCAGACAGAUCUGGAAAGAAUAAGUGUUUGUUUUUAAGCUGUAUUUAAUAAAAAAAAAAAAAAAAAAAAAAAAAAAAAAAAA
Molecule: non-coding RNA, 1099 nt
Organism: Anas platyrhynchos (mallard)
Lineage: Eukaryota; Metazoa; Chordata; Aves; Anseriformes; Anatidae
Source: RefSeq, a predicted model, not a curated record